Molecule: ribosomal RNA, 618 nt
Filed under: bacterium 90-L049393-122-001-B12
Lineage: Bacteria
Description: bacterial SSU rRNA
Rfam family: Bacterial small subunit ribosomal RNA
Source: RNAcentral
GCAGUCGAACGAUGAAGCCCAGCUUGCUGGGUGGAUUAGUGGCGAACGGGUGAGUAACACGUGAGUAACCUGCCCUUGACUCUGGGAUAAGCCUGGGAAACUGGGUCUAAUACUGGAUAUGACCUCUUGCCGCAUGGUGGGAGGUGGAAAGAUUUAUUGGUCUUGGAUGGACUCGCGGCCUAUCAGCUUGUUGGUGAGGUAAUGGCUCACCAAGGCGACGACGGGUAGCCGGCCUGAGAGGGUGACCGGCCACACUGGGACUGAGACACGGCCCAGACUCCUACGGGAGGCAGCAGUGGGGAAUAUUGCACAAUGGGCGCAAGCCUGAUGCAGCGACGCCGCGUGAGGGAUGACGGCCUUCGGGUUGUAAACCUCUUUCAGUAGGGAAGAAGCGAAAGUGACGGUACCUGCAGAAGAAGCGCCGGCUAACUACGUGCCAGCAGCCGCGGUAAUACGUAGGGCGCGAGCGUUAUCCGGAAUUAUUGGGCGUAAAGAGCUCGUAGGCGGUUUGUCGCGUCUGUCGUGAAAGUCCGGGGCUUAACUCCGGAUCUGCGGUGGGUACGGGCAGACUAGAGUGCAGUAGGGGAGACUGGAAUUCCUGGUGUAGCGGUGAAAUGC